GGAGAGUGGUCGUAUCGCCGCAGUUCACAGCCAUCCAGCUCAUGCACAAAGUGCAUGACCACCCUGGCAGUGUGGGGGUCAGGGGUUCGAGUCCCCUCAGCUCCA
RNAcentral lists this transfer RNA (105 nucleotides) under Longispora sp. (in: high G+C Gram-positive bacteria). RNAcentral describes it as "tRNA-Ser". The record is from RNAcentral. Lineage: Bacteria; Bacillati; Actinomycetota; Actinomycetes; Micromonosporales; Micromonosporaceae.